This 72-nucleotide transfer RNA is filed under the name Saccoglossus kowalevskii. Its description in RNAcentral is "tRNA-Asp". It matches the Rfam family "tRNA". Rfam says of the family: Transfer RNA (tRNA) molecules are approximately 80 nucleotides in length. Their secondary structure includes four short double-helical elements and three loops (D, anti-codon, and T loops). Further hydrogen bonds mediate the characteristic L-shaped molecular structure. tRNAs have two regions of fundamental functional importance: the anti-codon, which is responsible for specific mRNA codon recognition, and the 3' end, to which the tRNAs corresponding amino acid is attached (by aminoacyl-tRNA synthetases). tRNAs cope with the degeneracy of the genetic code in two manners: having more than one tRNA (with a specific anti-codon) for a particular amino acid; and 'wobble' base-pairing, i.e. permitting non-standard base-pairing at the 3rd anti-codon position. Lineage: Eukaryota; Metazoa; Hemichordata; Enteropneusta; Harrimaniidae. The record is from RNAcentral.
UCCUCGAUAGGAUAGUGGUGAGUAUCUCCGCCUGUCACGCGGAAGACCGGGGUUCAAUUCCCCGUCGGGGAG